Molecule: ribosomal RNA, 973 nt
Filed under: uncultured bacterium
Lineage: Bacteria
Description: bacterial SSU rRNA
Rfam family: Bacterial small subunit ribosomal RNA
Source: RNAcentral
AUGGUAUGGGCGGCUGCCUUACCAUGCAAGUCGAACGGCAUCGCGGGAAAGCUUGCUUUCCUGGCGGCGAGUGGCGAACGGGUGAGUAACACAUCGGAACGUACCGGCUAGUGGGGGAUAACCCGUCGAAAGACGGGCUAAUACCGCAUACGCUCUUAGGAGGAAAGCAGGGGACCUUUGGGCCUUGCGCUAGCCGAGCGGCCGAUGUCCGAUUAGCUAGUUGGUGGGGUAAAGGCCUACCAAGGCGACGAUCGGUAGCGGGUCUGAGAGGACGAUCCGCCACACUGGGACUGAGACACGGCCCAGACUCCUACGGGAGGCAGCAGUGGGGAAUCUUGGACAAUGGGGGCAACCCUGAUCCAGCAAUGCCGCGUGGGUGAAGAAGGCCUUCGGGUUGUAAAGCCCUUUCGGCAGGGAAGAAAUCGGCGGGGCGAAUAACCCUGCUGGAUGACGGUACCUGCAGAAGAAGCACCGGCUAACUACGUGCCAGCAGCCGCGGUAAUACGUAGGGUGCGAGCGUUAAUCGGAUUUACUGGGCGUAAAGCGUGCGCAGGCGGCCCGUUAAGACAGGUGUGAAAUCCCUGGGCUCAACCUAGGAAUUGCGCUUGUGACUGGCGGGCUCGAGUACGGUAGAGGGGGGUGGAAUUCCUGGUGUAGCAGUGAAAUGCGUAGAGAUCAGGAGGAACACCGAUGGCGAAGGCAGCCCCCUGGGCCUGUACUGACGCUCAUGCACGAAAGCGUGGGGAGCAAACAGGAUUAGAUACCCUGGUAGUCCACGCCCUAAACGAUGGGUACUAGCCGUUUGGUGCGCGAUAGCGCUGAGUGGCGAAGCUAACGCGUGAAGUACCCCGCCUGGGGAGUACGGCCGCAAGGUUGAAACUCAAGGAAUUGACGGGGACCCGCACAGCGUGAUGAUGUGAUUAAUUCGAUGCAACGCGAAGAACCUUACCUACCCUUGACAUGCCCCGAACCU